AACAGGAUUAGAUACCCUGGUAGUCCACGCCGUAAACGAUGUCGACUUGGAGGUUGUGCCCUUGAGGCGUGGCUUCCGGAGCUAACGCGUUAAGUCGACCGCCUGGGGAGUACGGCCGCAAGGUUAAAACUCAAAUGAAUUGACGGGGGCCCGCACAAGCGGUGGAGCAUGUGGUUUAAUUCGAUGCAACGCGAAGAACCUUACCUACUCUUGACAUCCAGAGAACUUAGCAGAGAUGCUUUGGUGCCUUCGGGAACUCUGAGACAGGUGCUGCAUGGCUGUCGUCAGCUCGUGUUGUGAAAUGUUGGGUUAAGUCCCGCAACGAGCGCAACCCUUAUCCUUUGUUGCCAGCGGUUAGGCCGGGAACUCAAAGGAGACUGCCAGUGAUAAACUGGAGGAAGGUGGGGAUGACGUCAAGUCAUCAUGGCCCUUACGAGUAGGGCUACACACGUGCUACAAUGGCGCAUACAAAGAGAAGCGACCUCGCGAGAGCAAGCGGACCUCAUAAAGUGCGUCGUAGUCCGGAUUGGAGUCUGCAACUCGACUCCAUGAAGUCGGAAUCGCUAGUAAUCGUGGAUCAGAAUGCCGCGGUGAAUACGUUCCCGGGCCUUGUACACACCGCCCGUCACACCAUGGGAGUGGGUUGCAAAAGAAGUAGGUAGCUUAACCUUCGGGAGGGCGCUUACCACUUUGUGAUUCAUGACUGGGGUGAAGUCGUAACAAGGUAACC
This 730-nucleotide ribosomal RNA is filed under the name uncultured bacterium. RNAcentral describes it as "bacterial SSU rRNA". It matches the Rfam family "Bacterial small subunit ribosomal RNA", at positions 771 to 1501 of the family's 1533-position model. The record is from RNAcentral.